RNA transcript from Eriocheir sinensis (Chinese mitten crab), 4505 nucleotides. It is a transcript of the gene named zinc finger protein 184-like, with no coding region annotated. The record is from RefSeq and is a predicted model, not a curated record. The transcript has 20 exons. Lineage: Eukaryota; Metazoa; Arthropoda; Malacostraca; Decapoda; Varunidae.
AGCAGGUCCCGUCCCUCCCUCCCUCCUCCCUCGCCUCGUCCCCGCCAGCCCAGCAGCCUCACAAGAUGGGCACAUUUCUCAACGAUUCUCCGCUUUGCCGCCUCUGUGCCACCGAGAGCGAGGGGGGCACCUUCACCAUCUUCGACGACAGUGAGGAGAAAGCAUCCCUGGCCAUCCUCAUCAACAAAUAUCUGCCCAUAAAGGUGGUUGACGAUGGGCGGCUUCCGGUGUGUAUCUGCGAGCGCUGCCAUGUGGGCGUGGCGGCAACGGUGGACCUCAUUGACCGCAUGGUGGAAGGACAACACCGCCUGCGCUCCCUCCUGCAGCCGGAGAGGCCCCCAGCGUCCCCCCAGGCUGUCCUCAUCAACCUCCAGGGAGAGACACCAGACAUACCCAUGGAUGACCUGACCAAGGGUGCCAGCGUGGCCAAGGUGUUCGGGGAGAGCCACCCCAUGAGCCUGGCAGUGGACGGCCGCCCACCACCAGGACCACCGAAGAGAAAGAGAGGGCGGCCACGCAGAGGGGAGGGCUCGGCAAAACUUCCCGUGAAGGUGGAGGAUAUCGAGGAGCUGAGGCAGGAGGACUUGCUGGACCCGAUGAAGGGCCCGAGGCGGUCUGGGAGGAAAGCAAGUCUUCCCUCCAGAUAUCGAGACUCCAUCGCCGGCCGUGACUUUGAGAAGCUUAUGAAUGACUCUGGGGUUAAGGAAGAGGUCAUGGAGGAGCUUGACGACCUCACCGAUGCCGACUACCGCCACCAGGGGGCUGCCGCGGGGAUGCUGGUGCCCGAGGUGGUGAUGGAUGAGGAGCAGCCCGGUGGUGGUGAGGGCGGUGAUGGUGACGACGGCGCGAGUAUCAUCAUUGCGGAUGCCUCUGGGCCGCCCUCGGACCUCCCUGUCUCAGUGAAUAUUGAGGUGAAUUUCCAGGAAGACGGCAACAUUACCCUCAGAGGAAUGGAGGACUUGGAGGAGGGCAAGGACAAGGCUUCCUCUUCCAUUAGCUCAAUACAGAUUACUACAGUUGGCGAGACGGUCAGCGUGCCCCCCAAGGCGUCUUUCAGCGAGCCCACGUUGUUCCGUAAGAAGCGUGGGGCCAAGAAGAAGGCCAAGUGGCUGUGUGACCUCUGUGGCAAGGGCUUCCUCCAUAAGGGCCGAUACCUCCUGCAUAACCGCCUCCACAAAGAAGUCAUCCUCCAGUGUGACACCUGCAAGGAUCGCUUCUCCACCCGCGAGGACAUCAACAUCCACCAACUCAACACGCAACACACGGGCCUCGGCAUCAUUGAGGUGGAAAAAGAGGACAACCAGGUGGAGUUCAAGUGUCCGCAUUGCCCCACGCGCACUUUCGUCACGCAGGAAGGCUACAACAACCACGUGUCCAGCAUGCACGAGGGGGUGAAGCCCUACGCCUGUGGUACCUGUGGAAAGCGCUUUGCCUACCAGCACAGCCUUCGCAACCACUACGCUCUUCAUGAGCCCCCGAAAGAGGAGCGCGAGUACCCCUGUCCGACGUGCGGCAAGGUCUUCACCCACCCAAGCUCCCUCAUCUACCACCGGGACUCCUCGCACAACAAUGGGCGGGUGUUUGUGUGUCACCUCUGCGGCUCCACCUUCAAACACAAACAGCUGCUACAGAGGCAUUACAGUGUGCACUCAGAUGACCGACCAUUUGAGUGUGAGAUCUGCAACACGGCUUUCAAGACUCGCGGGAACCUCUACAACCACAUGAACACCCACACGGGGCUCAAGAAAUUCACCUGCGAGAUCUGCGGCAAACAGUUCAACCACCUGACCUCCCUCACGCUCCACGUCCGCUCUCAUACAGGCGAGAAGCCCUUCAAGUGUGGUUACUGCAACAAGCGGUUCACGCAGAAUGGCAACCUGCAGGAGCACAUACGCAUUCACACCGGGGAGAAACCGUACUGCUGCGACACCUGCGGAAAGAAGUUCACCACAUCCUCACAGUUCAAGCUACAUCUGCGGAGACACACCGGCGAGCGUCCCUUCACCUGUACCUACUGCACCCGGCCCUUCCUGAACCGCGAGGCGUGGCGCACACACGAACGCAAGCACAGCGGGGAGAGGCCGUACGAGUGUGGCGCGUGCAACAGGAACUUCUCUGAGAACUCCACCUUCAAGAAGCACCUCCGCAUGCACACCACCUCAGGACUGAAGCCAUACCUAUGCAACCUCUGCGGCAAGUCCUUCAGCACCUCAUCCAACCUCGUCAAGCACCGACGCACACACCGAGAGGACGAGGCGUGGCUCCUGCAGCCCUCCGGAACCUUUGAGCACACGCAGGGUGACCAACGCAUCAUCUACAUCCUCUCCGACAAGGACGACAAUGACACUAUCACCGCACUGCAGGCCGUGGAGGCAGGCAUCUCCGAGGACUCACAACACAACACGCAACACCUCGGCAACCUGACCACCGGCGGCGCCACCCAGAUGCUGCAACUCAACACGGAAGGCUUCACGCUCGGGUCCUACAGCCAAGCCACGGCCGCCACCCCCACUCCCCCUACGGCUGUCCCCCCCUCCGCCACCACUGCUGCUUCACCCUCUGUGCCUUCUUCUGCUGCUGCUGCCUCAUCGUCUACGGCUGUGAUGCUUCAGGAAGGGUCGUCGAAUUCUUCCGAUAGACAGAUACAGAUCUUUACCAACGAGGAAGGGCAGUCGGUCAUCCCCGUCAUAAACUCAUCCGGGGAGACUAUAGGGCAGGUGCAGGGACACUUUAUGACCGGGCAACCAGAUGGCGCCAGUGGUCUCGCCUCACUUGGAACUGGCGGCAGCACACUCGAGAUUACCCUGAAGGACGGACAGCCACUGAGCCUCGUGAUACCUGACGGGGAGGACCCAACAAUGUACGUGCAGAGGGCGCUGGAGUCUGCCGUCAUGACCCAACAACAACAACAGCAUGGAGGGGGUUCACAAGUCUCUCGGAAUCAGUCUGCAGUGAGGUUGCCGACGCCUAUUGGAACUUCGCCUUGUGUUUCGUCCACCUCGCCUGUUUCUACGGGAGUGCCGCAGCCUAAUGCAUAAUUGUUUGUUUGUGUUUUGGGGUGCGGUGGGGUGGGGGGGGCGGUCAGUUGGAAAUGUCUGUUUUUGCCAGUUCAAUGUCUUGCAUAUUUGUUUUCUCUCCAUCCUUUAUAUCUUCUUUGUCAGUCUUUGUUUCCUCAUAUUUGUCAGUCUCUACCUUUCUCUAUCCUUCAUCUUUCUUAUAUCUUAUCUGUCAGUCUUUGCUUCCUCAUAUCUGUCAAUCUCUAUCUUUAUCCUUCAAUUUUCUUUCCUUCUUUUGUCUUAUCUGUCAGUCUUAGUUUCUUCAUAUCUGUCAAUCUCUAUCUUUAUCCUUCAAUUUUCUUUCCUUCUUUUAUAUCUUAUCUGUCAGUCUUAGUUUCCUCAUAUCUGUCAAUCUCUAUCUUUAUCCUUCAAUUUUCUUUCCUUCUUUUGUCUUAUCUGUCAGUCUUAGUUUCCUCAUAUCUGUCAAUCUCUAUCUUUAUCCUUCAAUUUUCUUUCCUUCUUUUAUGUCUUAUCUGUCAGUCUUAGUUUCCUCAUAUCUGUCAAUCUCUAUCUUUAUCCUUCAAUUUUCUUUCCUUCUUUUAUAUCUUAUCUGUCAGUCUUAGUUUCCUCAUUUAUAUCAUUAUCUUUAUCUGUCCCUCUCUCUCUCCUUCUUACUGUCUUGAUUGCCCUUUCAGUAUCUUCAAUCUUUGUUUCCUCUCCUCCUUUCAUGUCUUAUUAGUCACUUUCUCUUUCCUCAUUUCUACCAGUCUCUAUCUGUCUUUAACCCUCUGUCCUUUUUACUCUCUUUUUAUUUUCCAUCCUCUUUUAGCAUGUCUGUUCUUUGUCUCUUCAUCUCUGACCUAUUUGCUAUGUCAGUAUUUGUUCUUGGUCUGCAAUAACACACACACACACACACACACACACACACACACACACACACACACACACACACACACAUGGUAGCAAUAUCUAUGCCUAGUUUUUUCUAUGGACAGCGUAGUGUUUUGAUACUUAGAUACAUUUAUAACUAGGGAUUAAGUGAAUGAUCCUCCUACACUGUGCUCACUCGUCGUCCUCCUUGAAACUCGCUGGCAAGAAUGGUGAAAAAAGUGACUCCGAAAAGGUUUAUAGUUCGGAAAAGUACUGAAAAAAUAAAUAAAUAAAUAAAUAAAACUUCUGUAUAAUUAAUGUGACAACUGAAAAAAAAAAAAUGAAAGCCUAUGACAAGUUAGAUGAAAAAAUGAAAGCCUGUGACAAGUUCGAUUAAAAAUAUUGAAAUCUGUGACAAGUUCAACUAAUAAUAUGAAAGCCUGUGAUGAGUUCAAUUAAAAAUAUGAAAUCUGUGACACGUUCGAUUAAAAAUAUGGAAUCUGUGACAAGUUCAGUUAAAAUAUGAAAUCCGUGACAAGCUCAACAAAAAAAUAUGAAAGCCUAUAAUAAGUUACUGAAAAUAUGAAGCCUGUGAUAAUGUUAAAAUAAAUGAUGAAUGUAGGAAAAAAAAAAAAAAAA